UCAGAUGAGACUGCCGGUGACAAACCGGAGGAAGGUGGGGACGACGUCAAGUCAUCAUGGCCCUUACUGUCCUGGGCUACACACGUGCUACAAUGGCCGGUACAGAGUGAAGCGAGACCGCGAGGUGAAGCAAAACGCAGAAAGCCGGUCUCAGUACGGAUUGGAGUCUGAAACUCGACUUCAUGAAGUUGGAAUCGCUAGUAAUCGCGCAUCAGCAUGGCGCGGUGAAUACGUUCCCGGGCCUU
This 245-nucleotide ribosomal RNA is filed under the name uncultured Spirochaeta sp. Its description in RNAcentral is "partial 16S ribosomal RNA". It matches the Rfam family "Bacterial small subunit ribosomal RNA", at positions 1139 to 1382 of the family's 1533-position model. The record is from RNAcentral. Lineage: Bacteria; Pseudomonadati; Spirochaetota; Spirochaetia; Spirochaetales; Spirochaetaceae.